Molecule: ribosomal RNA, 397 nt
Filed under: uncultured bacterium
Lineage: Bacteria
Description: partial 16S ribosomal RNA
Rfam family: Bacterial small subunit ribosomal RNA
Source: RNAcentral
AUACGUAGGGGGCGAGCGUUGUCCGGAAUGAUUGGGCGUAAAGGGCGCGUAGGCGGCCCGGUAAGUCUGGAGUGAAAGUCCUGCUUUUAAGGUGGGAAUUGCUUUGGAUACUGUCGGGCUUGAGUGCAGGAGAGGUAAGUGGAAUUCCCAGUGUAGCGGUGAAAUGCGUAGAGAUUGGGAGGAACACCAGUGGCGAAGGCGACUUACUGGACUGUAACUGACGCUGAGGCGCGAAAGUGUGGGGAGCAAACAGGAUUAGAUACCCUGGUAGUCCACACUGUAAACGAUGAAUGCUAGGUGUAGGGUGUAUCGACCCCUUCUGUGCCGCAGUUAACACAAUAAGCAUUCCGCCUGGGGAGUACGGCCGCAAGGUUGAAACUCAAAUGAAUUGACGGGG